This 253-nucleotide ribosomal RNA is filed under the name uncultured bacterium. RNAcentral describes it as "partial 16S ribosomal RNA". It matches the Rfam family "Bacterial small subunit ribosomal RNA", at positions 524 to 776 of the family's 1533-position model. The record is from RNAcentral.
UACGGAGGGUGCAAGCGUUAAUCGGAACUACUGGGCGUAAAGCGUGCGUAGGCGGCUUGUUAAGUCAGAUGUGAAAGCCCCGGGCUUAACCUGGGAACUGCAUUUGAAACUGGCAAGCUAGAGUUGAGUAGAGGGGAGUGGAAUUUCAGGUGUAGCGGUGAAAUGCGUAGAUAUCUGAAGGAACACCAGUGGCGAAGGCGACUCCCUGGACUCAAACUGACGCUGAGGCACGAAAGCGUGGGUAGCAAACAGG